GCUAAACGCGAAGAACCUUACCAGGUCUUGACAUCCCUCUGACCGGUCUGGAGACAGGCCUUCCCGUUCGGGGCAGAGGAGACAGGUGGUGCAUGGUUGUCGUCAGCUCGUGUCGUGAGAUGUUGGGUUAAGUCCCGACAACGAGCGCAACCCUUGAUCUUAGUUGCCAGCACUUCGGGUGGGCACUCUAAGAUGACUGCCGGUGACAAACCAGAGGAAGGUGGGAUGACGUCAAAUCAUCAUGCCCCUUAUGACCUGGGCUACACACGUACUACAAUGGUCGGUACAACGGGAAGCGAAGCCGCGAGGCGGAGCCAAUCCUAUAAAGCCGAUCUCAGUUCGGAUUGCAGGCUGCAACUCGCCUGCAUGAAGUCGGAAUUGCUAGUAAUCGCGGAUCAGCAUGCCCGCGGU
This 411-nucleotide ribosomal RNA is filed under the name uncultured bacterium. Its description in RNAcentral is "bacterial SSU rRNA". It matches the Rfam family "Bacterial small subunit ribosomal RNA", at positions 954 to 1363 of the family's 1533-position model. The record is from RNAcentral.